CCCCCCCGCUUCAUUAUCAUGUGUUCUUUGAGACGGAGGUUGUCCUUGUCUACGACGACCUCUUUUAGCAGGAGGAUUGCCGGCAGUAGCCUCUCGUCGAGCAGAAGAAUGUGCCUGACUCGGUCUACCAAGCCUGCUUCUUCCAAUAUUGUGUUCCAUAUCUAAACAAAAACAAAAAAACAAAACAAAACACCAUGAUCAAAAAUAAUUCAACAAUAUAUGGUUAUUUCCAAACUCAAACAUAUACAUUAUGCAUUCCAUUCCAAUUCAGUCGUUUUCACGAAUUAUAUUGCACACAAUUUCAAGCAUAUGCAUUACCAAUCUUCAUUGACACAUUUUUACAAACACAUAGAGUACGAAAUGCAAAUCUACAACAUAUGCUUGAGUUUAUGCUACAAGCUAGCCAAACACUUGUCUUAAAAAACGAAUGAUCAACAAUUUAAUCACUUAAUAACGAAUGAAUUUUCAGAUGAACAAUGGAUAACAACAAAAUAUCGAUGCAAAUGAAAAUUGAUGAAAAUUGGAUGAUAUUUGUUGAUGAAAAUUGGAUGACAAUUAAUAAGAAUGCAUAAUAACAGUAACUUACUAAUUGAUCAGAGGUUGAUGAUAUUUGUUGAUGUAGAUGCAAGCUAUGCGUUCCUUUUCUCCCUUUGCAGCCCUAACC
RNAcentral lists this long non-coding RNA (664 nucleotides) under Trifolium pratense (red clover). Its description in RNAcentral is "long non-coding RNA (TPRA_LNC003957)". Lineage: Eukaryota; Viridiplantae; Streptophyta; Magnoliopsida; Fabales; Fabaceae. The record is from RNAcentral.